Molecule: non-coding RNA, 544 nt
Organism: Hypanus sabinus (Atlantic stingray)
Lineage: Eukaryota; Metazoa; Chordata; Chondrichthyes; Myliobatiformes; Dasyatidae
Source: the annotation of a RefSeq genome assembly
AAAUGGGCGUGGCCAAUCAGAAUUGCCUGUUUCAGCUUGCUACGUAAGGAGUGAAUGGUUCGUCCAUUACUGAGAGAAGAAACGCCAAGCGAACAUGUUGCUGUUGCUGCAACUGAUCCUCGCCUUCCACUAUGCCAACACGGUUACGAUCCACCAGCCCCCGGCAUUUUCCGGCCGUCCUGGCGAGGAAAUGGUGCUGAAAUGCAGGGUAGAGGGUGGCAGCAGCGGCGCCGAUGAUUAUCUCUACUGGUACAGACAAUACCAGGGAAGCGGACCCCAGGCCCUUUUCACCUCGACCUUGACAGGAAACGUGCAGCCGAAGGACCCAGUGGACGGCUUCACGGCGCAGAGACCGAGUAGCAACGAGUUCUAUCUGAAUUCCUCCGGCCUCCAGGCGGAUUCGCCGGCCGUGUAUUUCUGCGCCUGGAGAUAUCACGGCGACUCAGACAGACGGGGAAGCCGAACAAAAACCUCACAGUGUGUGUGGGGUUGGCUGACGUCAGCAGAGGAGGAUAUGCGCUGCAGGUCGACACCUGACAACUGA